Molecule: small RNA, 304 nt
Filed under: Plasmodium adleri (nom. inval.)
Lineage: Eukaryota; Apicomplexa; Aconoidasida; Haemosporida; Plasmodiidae
Description: Plasmodium sp. gorilla clade G2 RNase MRP
Source: RNAcentral
UUCAAAUUUAACAUAAUAAUGUUACUUGCAGAAAAUAUACAGAAAAUCUCUUUUUUUUUGAGAAGAAGAUUUUCAUUUCUUCUGUUAGGAAAGUCCCCGAGAUAAACAGUUAGUUAUUCUAAAUGUUUUUAGAAAAGCUGAUAACUUAAUAAGUUAUUAAUCUUAUAGUUACCUUUGUAGAAAAUAUAUAAAUUUUCUCAAAGGAUAUAAAUAUUAAAAUAGCGAGUUAAAUGUAACAUAUGUUCUAUAAUAUAUUUUAUUGGACAUCACCAAAUGGGGCUUAUACGUAUGUUAAAUUUACCAU